This 460-nucleotide ribosomal RNA is filed under the name uncultured bacterium. RNAcentral describes it as "partial 16S ribosomal RNA". It matches the Rfam family "Bacterial small subunit ribosomal RNA", at positions 338 to 795 of the family's 1533-position model. The record is from RNAcentral.
CCUACGGGAGGCAGCAGUGAGGAAUAUUGGUCACUGGACGAGAGUCUGAACCAGCCAAGUAGCGUGAAGGAUGACUGCCCUAUGGGUUGUAAACUUCUUUUAUAUGGGAAUAAAAUGUUCCACGUGUGGGAUUUUGUAUGUACCAUAUGAAUAAGGAUCGGCUAACUCCGUGCCAGCAGCCGCGGUAAUACGGAGGAUCCGAGCGUUAUCCGGAUUUAUUGGGUUUAAAGGGAGCGUAGGUGGAUUGUUAAGUCAGUUGUGAAAGUUUGCGGCUCAACCGUAAAAUUGCAGUUGAAACUGGCAGUCUGGAGUACAGUAGAGGUGGGCGGAAUUCGUGGUGUAGCGGUGAAAUGCUGAGAUAUCACGAAGAACUCCGAUUGCGAAGGCAGCUCACUGGACUGCAACUGACACUGAGGCUCGAAAGUGUGGGUAUCAAACAGGAUUAGAGACCCCGGUAGUC